RNAcentral lists this ribosomal RNA (260 nucleotides) under uncultured bacterium. RNAcentral's name for it is "partial 16S ribosomal RNA". It matches the Rfam family "Bacterial small subunit ribosomal RNA", at positions 58 to 334 of the family's 1533-position model. The record is from RNAcentral.
CAAGUCGAACGAGGGCCCCUCUUCGGAGGGUCACCCUAGUGGCGGACGGGUGAGUAACGCGUGGGAACCCGCCCUUGGGUACGGAAUAACCUCGGGAAACCGUGGCUAAUACCGUAUACGCCCUAAGGGGGAAAGAUUUAUUGCCCAAGGAUGGGCCCGCGUCGGAUUAGGUUGUUGGUGGGGUAAUGGCCUACCAAGCCGACGAUCCGUAGCUGGUCUGAGAGGAUGAUCAGCCACACUGGGACUGAGACACGGCCCAG